AACGAACGCUGGCGGCGCGCCUAAUACAUGCAAGUCGAGCGAGAAGACGUAGCAAUACGUUUGUAAAGCGGCGAACGGGUGAGGAAUACAUGGGUAACCUACCCUCGAGUGGGGAAUAACUAGCCGAAAGGUUAGCUAAUACCGCGUACGCUCCUUGGACUUCGGUUCAGGGAGGAAAGCGAUACCGUGGGUAUCGCGCUCUUGGAUGGGCUCAUGUCCUAUCAGCUUGUUGGUGAGGUAACGGCUCACCAAGGCUUCGACGGGUAGCUGGUCUGAGAGGACGAUCAGCCACACUGGCACUGCGACACGGGCCAGGACUCCUACGGGAGGCAGCAGUAAGGAAUAUUGCGCAAUGGGCGAAAGCCUGACGCAGCGACGCCGCGUGGGGGAUGGAAGGUCUUCGGAUUUGUAAACCCCUUUCGGGACGGGAAGAUGGAACGAGCAAUCGUUCGGACGGUACCUCCAGAAGCAGCCACGGCUAACUUCGUGCCAGCCGCCGCCGUAA
RNAcentral lists this ribosomal RNA (505 nucleotides) under uncultured bacterium. Its description in RNAcentral is "bacterial SSU rRNA". It matches the Rfam family "Bacterial small subunit ribosomal RNA", at positions 29 to 523 of the family's 1533-position model. The record is from RNAcentral.